ANAAUCAGUCGUGAGUANNANNAUNCCCCUGUANACAGCGGGAAGCUACUGCUAAUACCGGAUGUGCCGAGAGGUGAAAGGCUUGCUGCCUGAAGAUGAGCUCGCGUCUGAUUAGCUAGUUGGUGGUGUAAGGGACUACCAAGGCGACGAUCAGUAGCUGGUCUGAGAGGAUGAUCAGCCACACUGGGACUGAGACACGGCCCAGACUCCUACGGGAGGCAGCAGUGGGGAAUUUUCCGCAAUGGGCGAAAGCCUGACGGAGCAAUACCGCGUGAGGGAGGAAGGCUCUUGGGUUGUAAACCUCUUUUCUUAGGGAAUAAAAAAAUGAAGGUACCUAAGGAAUAAGCAUCGGCUAACUCCGUGCCAGCAGCCGCGGUAAUACGGAGGAUGCAAGCGUUAUCCGGAAUGAUUGGGCGUAAAGCGUCCGCAGGUGGUUUUGUCAAGUCUGCUGUCAAAGAAUGAGGCUUAACCUCAUCAAGGCAGUGGAAACUGAGAGACUAGAGUGCGUUCGGGGCAGAAGGAAUUCCUGGUGUAGCGGUGAAAUGCGUAGAGAUCAGAAGACACCGGUGGCGAAAGCGUUCUGCUAGGCCGCAACUGACACUGAGGGACGAAAGCUAGGGGAGCGAAUGGGAUUAGAUACCCCAGUAGUCC
This 651-nucleotide ribosomal RNA is filed under the name Trichormus sp. S24. Its description in RNAcentral is "bacterial SSU rRNA". It matches the Rfam family "Bacterial small subunit ribosomal RNA", at positions 109 to 796 of the family's 1533-position model. Lineage: Bacteria; Bacillati; Cyanobacteriota; Cyanophyceae; Nostocales; Nostocaceae. The record is from RNAcentral.